CCUGGCGGCCGUAGCGCGGUGGUCCCACCUGACCCCAUGCCGAACUCAGAAGUGAAACGCCGUAGCGCCGAUGGUAGUGUGGGGUCUCCCCAUGCGAGAGUAGGGAACUGC
This 111-nucleotide ribosomal RNA is filed under the name Citrobacter koseri. The record is from RNAcentral. Lineage: Bacteria; Pseudomonadati; Pseudomonadota; Gammaproteobacteria; Enterobacterales; Enterobacteriaceae. RNAcentral also lists the same sequence under 5 other names.